RNAcentral lists this small RNA (75 nucleotides) under Tenacibaculum soleae. Its description in RNAcentral is "Flavo-1 RNA". It matches the Rfam family "Flavo-1 RNA". The record is from Rfam by way of RNAcentral. Lineage: Bacteria; Pseudomonadati; Bacteroidota; Flavobacteriia; Flavobacteriales; Flavobacteriaceae.
UUUUUGCGUUAGGGAUUGAAGUGGCAUCCUUUUUUGAGGCACGAAAAAAAGAUACAACGUAAAGCCCGACCUUUA